UGCGUAGGCGGGUCUUUAAGUCAGGGGUGAAAUCCUGGAGCUCAACUCCAGAACUGCCUUUGAUACUGAAGAUCUUGAGUUCGGGAGAGGUGAGUGGAACUGCGAGUGUAGAGGUGAAAUUCGUAGAUAUUCGCAAGAACACCAGUGGCGAAGGCGGCUCACUGGCCCGAUACUGACGCUGAGGCACGAAAAGCGUAGGGAGCAAACA
This 208-nucleotide ribosomal RNA is filed under the name uncultured bacterium. RNAcentral describes it as "partial 16S ribosomal RNA". It matches the Rfam family "Bacterial small subunit ribosomal RNA", at positions 568 to 774 of the family's 1533-position model. The record is from RNAcentral.